Molecule: ribosomal RNA, 322 nt
Filed under: Verrucomicrobiota bacterium
Lineage: Bacteria; Pseudomonadati; Verrucomicrobiota
Description: partial 23S ribosomal RNA
Rfam family: Bacterial large subunit ribosomal RNA
Source: RNAcentral
GAUCAAGCUACAAAGAGCACAUAAUGGAUGCCUUGGUGCCAAUAGGCGAUGAAGGACGUGGCUAACUGCGAUAAGCCUCGGAGAGCGGUAAACACGCUGUGACCCGGGGAUUUCCGAAUGGGAUAACCUGAGUGGGGUAACACCUGCUCGAGUCUCUGUGAAUACAUAGCAGGGACAUCGCGACACCCGGUGAAGUGAAACAUCUCAGUAACCGGAGGAAAAGAAAGCGAAAGCGAUUCCGUAAGUAGUGGCGAGCGAAAGCGGAAGAGACCAAACCAGCAGUUUACUGCUGGGGUUGUAGGAGCCCGAUGUGGUAGUGCAA